AACCACACAACAUUUAUCAGAGUAAAAUUAUUGAAGAAAAUCAAAAACACAUAUGAAGCUUAAUACAAUGGGGGAGGAGGUGGUGAACUAUAUAAAUAUGGAUUAUAUGGUGUAGGUGGAGAUUUAUAAAUGUAAGGAGUUGGUGAAGGAUAAUAUGAAGGUGGUGAUGAAUAAAUGUAAGGUUUUGGAGGAGAGUUAUAAACAUAGGGAGGUGGAGGUGGGGAUUUGUAGACAUAUGGUGGAGGUGGAGACUCAUAGAUAUAUGGUGGUGGUGGUGAAGGAGAUGGUGGGGGUGGAGACUUAUAGACGUAUGGAGGAGGUGGUGAAGGAGAUGGAGGUGGUGGUGACUUGUAGACAUAUGGAGGAGGUGGUGAAGGCGAUGGUGGUGGUGGUGACUUAUAGACAUAAGGCGGAGGAGGUGAAGGGGAUGGCGGAGGUGGAGAUUUAUAGUAGUAUGGAGGAGGUGGUGAAGGUGAAGGUGGCGGAGGUGACUUAUAAACGUAUGGAGGUGGUGGUGGAGACUUGUAGACAUAUGGUGGAGGUGGAGACUCAUAAACAUAUGGAGGUGGUGGUGACGGAGAUGGUGGAGGUGGUGACUUGUAGACAUAUGGAGGAGGAGGUGAAGGGGAUGGAGGUGGAGGUGAUUUAUAGAUAUAUGGUGGUGGAGGAGAAGGUGAAGGAGGGGGUGGAGACUUGUAAACAUAUGGAGGGGAUGGGUAUACAUAAGGUGGAGGAGGUGGUGACUUGUACACAUAUGGUGGUGGUGGUGGACUAUUAUAGACAUAUGGUGGUGGAGGUGGAGAUUUGUAGAUAUAUGGAGGAGGAGGUGAGUUGUAAACAUAUGGAGGUGGUGGUGAUGGAGAUGGUGGAGGAGGAGAUUUGUAAUAAUAUGGUGGAAAUUUGUCGACAUAUGGAGGUGGUGGUGAUGGAGAUGAUAUAGGUGGAGAUUUAUAGUAAUACGGAGGAAAUUUGUCAACAUAAGGAGACGGUGGAGCUUUAUAGUAAUAUGGAGGAAAUUUAUUGUCAUAAGGAGGAGGAGAUUGAUAAUUAUAUGGAGGAAAUUUGUAAGGAUAUGGGGGUGGAGAUUGAUAGUUGUUAUAUGGAGGUGGCUUGUAAGUGUUGGGUGGUUGGGGAUAGUUGUUAUAUGGAAAUUGGCCUCCGUAAUAAGGCUUAUCAUCAUCAGCAAUAACAAAAGUACUUAAAGCAAUUAUGCAAAGUGCUA
This 1222-nucleotide long non-coding RNA is filed under the name Lathyrus oleraceus (garden pea). RNAcentral's name for it is "Pisum sativum (pea) long non-coding RNA (PSAT_LNC031726)". The record is from RNAcentral. Lineage: Eukaryota; Viridiplantae; Streptophyta; Magnoliopsida; Fabales; Fabaceae.